CCGCCAUAUCGCAAUAGAAACGCCAGUUCCUGUUCGAUCACCGAAGCGAAGGAACAUCGAGCCUUUUUCAGUACCUAAAUGGGUGAUCGCUUCGGAAUACCAGGUGCUGUAAG
Acanthosepion pharaonis is the source of this 113-nucleotide non-coding RNA. The record is from the annotation of a GenBank genome assembly. Lineage: Eukaryota; Metazoa; Mollusca; Cephalopoda; Sepiida; Sepiidae.